GAUGCCUGUUACUAGCAUUCACAUGGAACAAAAUGCUGCUGUGGGAGGAUGACAAAGAAGCAUGAGUCACCCUGCUGGAUAAACUUAGACUUCAGACUUUAUCAUUUUUUAAUCUGUUAAUCAUAAUCUGGCUACUGGGAUAUUCCACCGUAAAUUUUAAGAAUAAGGUCAUUUAAAAGAUUUAUCAGCAGUAUUCCAAGUGCAAAAUUGUUCACUUUAAUCUUCUAGUUCACGUAUUUUUCUCUUUAAUAGAAAAUGCAUGUGCAUCACUUUUAAUUCAAAGUUACGGUUGGUUUGCUGUAACUCUUCAUAAGCAAUUUUAAUGACUCUACUAGAACAUAGGCUAAAUAUAUUAUAAAACAAAUUUAUUUAUCUUUAUAGUUAAAAAUUAGAAGGAAUACUAUUCUCCAGUUACAUCAUGGAUUGUCUUGAAACAUUUUUAAAGGAUUUGGAAAUUGGCAUUUUCCCCCGGUAACAAUUUCUGAUAUAAACAUCUUUUGUUUGAAUCUGAAGGGGAAAUUGAAGUGAUGCUAAAUGUUUUUUAAAUAAAAUAUUAUAAUAAGUAACAUGGUGAUAUCUGAGAAGUAUGCACCUGUUUUUUCCCUAUAAGAUAUAAAUAUUUAAUUUGAAAUUUUUCAUAUUGGAAAUCAGGUCCCAAAUCUAGGUUCAAGUUCAAUAGCUUAGACAUAUAAUAAUGUUGUCGAGUUAGAGAAUCAGUCUUUCCAUUCUAGUCCUGUUUCUUCAUCCAUAGAAUGGGGAUAAAACUUACAAGGUAGGUGUGAGGCUUACACGAAAUACAGAACUAUUGUGUAAGAUAACAAAGUAUACAACCAACAUUGAAAUAAAAUUAAUAUGAGAUGAGUUCCCCUACUUUGUUAGAGAAAAGCCAAUGACUUGAUUUACAGAAUUCUUAAGGUUUGGAUAUAUAUGCAGUUUUUCCCAUAACUAAUUAUAUCACUUACAAAUAUAUAGUCAAUGUAAUUGUUAGCACAUUUUGUACUUAACACUUUUCAACAUUUUGUCAUUCAGUGUAAC
Molecule: long non-coding RNA, 1035 nt
Filed under: Marmota monax (woodchuck)
Lineage: Eukaryota; Metazoa; Chordata; Mammalia; Rodentia; Sciuridae
Source: RNAcentral